CCCUCGAUAGCUCAGUUGGCAGAGCAGAGGACUGUAGAUGUUACAACGGUGAUCCUUAGGUCGCUGGUUCAAAUCCGGCUCGAGGGC
This 87-nucleotide transfer RNA is filed under the name Cordylochernes scorpioides. RNAcentral describes it as "tRNA-Tyr". It matches the Rfam family "tRNA". From Rfam's summary of the family: Transfer RNA (tRNA) molecules are approximately 80 nucleotides in length. Their secondary structure includes four short double-helical elements and three loops (D, anti-codon, and T loops). Lineage: Eukaryota; Metazoa; Arthropoda; Arachnida; Pseudoscorpiones; Chernetidae. The record is from RNAcentral.